CGUCUGCCUCUUUCGCCCCCGCCCCGCGUGUGCGGCCUCUAGUCUAGCACUCAAAGGAAUUCCCGGCGGCCCGCUCAAGCGGCGGAGCAUGCGGAUUUAUUUCGAUGCACCGCGAAGAACCUUUCCUGGGUUUGACAUACACCGGAAAGCGCUAGAGAUAGUGCCCCUUUUUGUCGGUGUACAGGUGGUGCAUGGCUGUCGUCAGCUCGUGUCGUGAGAUGUUGGGUUAAGUCCCGCAACGAGCGCAACCCUCGUCCUAUGUUGCCAGCACGUCAUGGUGGGGACUCAUAGGAGACUGCCGGGGUCAACUCGGAGGAAGGUGGGGAUGACGUCAAGUCAUCAUGCCCCUUAUGUCCAGGGCUUCACGCAUGCUACAAUGGCCGGUACAAAGGGCUGCGAUGCCGCGAGGCGGAGCGAAUCCCAAAAAGCCGGUCUCAGUUCGGAUUGGGGUCUGCAACUCGACCCCAUGAAGUCGGAGUCGCUAGUAAUCGCACAUACAGUAGGUAUAUAAGUGGUAAC
Molecule: ribosomal RNA, 519 nt
Filed under: Nocardioides sp. L5a
Lineage: Bacteria; Bacillati; Actinomycetota; Actinomycetes; Propionibacteriales; Nocardioidaceae
Description: bacterial SSU rRNA
Rfam family: Bacterial small subunit ribosomal RNA
Source: RNAcentral